UACAUUUUUGCCUAACAGUUAAGUAUUUUAUUCAAUGAAAGAUAUAAGUGAUGGAUUUAAAUUUAUUUCAUCAAAUCAAUAUUGGUUUCAUGUCAAUUCAGUGAAACUUUUAUCGCGAAUUCAUUAUGACACAACUCAAAUCACGGAUAUAGCGAAACGAUUUCGCGACAUAUAUCGCGAAGAUAUUAUAGCGCAAUAUCGCGCUAAUUGCUAAUAGUUACUAUUUUAUUUUGAAACAUUUAUCUAUAUGAUCCUAUUAAUUGAAUCAAUGAUUAAUGAACUUAGAUUUAGUUUAUAAAAAAUUUUAUUGGAAUAAAAUUUUCCUGAUAUCCUGUCCUAUUUUUCUUCGAAGUUUUAUUAAGAAGAGCGACAAGGAGUCCAGGGGUGGAGGUUAAACAUUAUUCCAAAAAAAUAUCUAGACAAGAGUAUCAAAUGAAGACAAUAAAAUGAUUUUGAGUAUUUCAAAAUUAUACAUCCCUCUAUCUUGGCCUCGCAUCAAGGGUUGGAGAGAUUUAAUUCUUUUACAAGAAAUAUCUAACAAGGACAUAUGAAAGCGAAUAAAAAUAUCUUUUCAAUGCUAUUAUCCCUCUGGGUUCUAAUGACAAAAUAUUUAAAUUUUAAAGUAACGAAAUAUAGGAAGAUUCUAGAUUUCACUUGAGGAAUAGAAUAUACAUCAAACCGAUAUCCUACUUUAGUGGAACAACAAGAAAAAAGUCUUCCAAUUUAGCUAGAAAAAUAUUGGCCAGCAACAAGUGCUCUUAUGAACGAGGAUUUAGUAUUGCUGAAAUUAGAAAAAGAAGAUUGUGUUUGAAUCCAAAAAAUGAAG
This is a long non-coding RNA of Gordionus sp. m RMFG-2023, 826 nucleotides long. RefSeq lists it as uncharacterized. The record is from RefSeq and is a predicted model, not a curated record. Lineage: Eukaryota; Metazoa; Nematomorpha; Gordioida; Chordodea; Parachordodidae. The transcript has 3 exons.